GCAGCGAACAAGAGUGCAUUCAAGUAUGCGAUUGACAGAUGCUCAAAUCUACGAUAUAUUGUAUUUGGAAGAGAUGAAUCGUGUUUGAUAUUUUCAUAUUUUUCUAUGAAGGAUAACUUUUUGUUCCCAUUAUCCUUCACGUAUCACGUGAAAAUUAAAUAUCGAUAUUUGGACGCUUAUAUCGGUUAGAUGACGGCGAUACGCCGUGUGUUAACAGGUCAUGGGGGCCUGUUUCGGCCGCUGUAUUUCCAAAGUUACAGACUCCUUGUCAUACAGGUUUUAUCAAAGACAUACCAGUAUGUCCUACCAAGGAGACGAACAAGUUGAGUUUAUAGAUGACAAAGGAGGUACAGAUCAAUCUAGAGGAUCAAAAACCCUGUUAUCAUUUCUCUCCUUAAACCGAUUUAAGAAAAAAAAUGGAAUCCCUGUAACAUUGGAAUUAUUAGAAGAUGGAGCAUGGUCAAAGGGUAAAACUAAUAAAUAUGCCAGAUUAAACUCUAAGAAUGAUGCUUCUACAAGUUCUGGAUUGGAUACACCAUUACAAAUUCUUGAUGCAAGAACAUUAAUGAAACAACAAGCAUGUGUUUCUUCUACUCCUGGUUCAUCAUUAGAUCUGGAAUGGGAACAUGAAGGAAUGCCUCUACCAAUUAUGGAUGAUGAAAAAGUUGAAAGUACAGAUGGUUCUAUGACACAAACAUCAGUCAAUAAUAGUCAACCCUCUAGCUUGACAGCAUCUCCUUGGUCUAGAGUAUCAACACCAAAUAGUUUAGAAUGGGAUCCGGUAGAAGCGGAUAUGAAAAAACUAGAAUGGAAAAGAAAUGGAUAACCAAGGAAAACGUGAUUAUCGUGCAAGCAAAAAAUGGAUAAGUCGAGUUUUAGUUUAAAAGAGGACAAGCGGAUUUUUGGUUACAUAAUCCUGAAUCACCAUUAUCGUGUCACCCUCGUCGUAACGCAGCUGAAAUGACCAUCACAAUAUCGAACAGCAGUAACAGAUAAUAUACAUUAUGUAUAUUAACUUUACCAAUAGAUCUCCGAUUUUUAUUUUAUUUUCAUCUUCACUUGAUCGUAAUUCUUGCACGCCGCUAUCUAUGUUUGGCUGCCGGAAGUGGCCUUACUCUAUCAUACUUUCCGUUCUUCUAAUAUCUACGGAUCUUUGUAAAUCCAACGUGACUUUCCAUUGCGUGACAAUGGGAGCUUUUCGUCGCGGUAUCCGCCCAUCUUCUCUUUCACUUUUCAUCGAUCCCUAAAGAGAGGAGGUAGAAAAAACAGCGAAAACGACGAGAAAGAUCCGCGACUCGAUCGCGAAACCGCUUUAUUACUAGAAAUAUUAUAUGAUAAGGAGCGUGGCACAGUUUUGACGCUACAAUCGUUCACGGGGCUGGCCACGAUCGAAGAAAAUGGGGACACGACGAAAAGCGCGGGAACGCUUUAACGAAUGAAGAAGGAGUCGGGGAGGCAUUCAGAACUAAAUACAUAACUAGCACAGGAAGCAAUUAAUUUAAAAAGCAAUGAGAAAACAUUGAUAAAAUCGCUUUUGCAUCAAGAGAGAUGGCUGAGAUUCUUAAAAAACAGCGAAUCUUAAAAAAAAGAAAAGUCGAUAUACUAUAAAACGAAAGUUACAUUGCAAGAAACCGACUGAUUAAAAUUAAUUAAAUAUCUAUACUUUGAUCAGAGCUAUAAUUAUGUAAUGAGGGAUAAGUGGUCUUCGUGUGAAGAGGCCGCAAGAAUCAUAAAGGAAUUAUAGUUUGGCACUGAUACCCGUCAGCUUGAACUUAAUACGUUCGCAGAGCUGGAGAGAACCAGCAUUGGGAAGUCACGUAUUCCUAUUCGAUCCUAUUGCUGAUGGACUUUAUGGCACAUCGAAUAUCUUUCUUAAAACGCUUUGAUUCCGUUUCGAAACUAUGGCGUCUCUUGCCUUAUGUAUCUAGCAUACCUUCAAUGAAAAGAAAAGAAAAAAAAAACAAAAACUACAACAUAACUACGAAACAACACUAACAAUUGUCCAUCAUUCGACUGAUUCGAAAUAUAUCUUUUCAGAGACUACAAAAACUCCACUUCCGGCACCAGGUACAAGCAGCGUGUGGCUGUGGCCCAGACUUACGUCGGAUAGUAGCAAGAACACACAUUAAAAUCAUAGAAGAUCAACGCUAUUAGACGUGUUAUGCAAGUAGCUAUCCGCUUUAUUUUCCCUUUAAUUUUCUACAAACCAUUUCACUUGGUUCAAAGAAUAAAUCAGAUCUGCGGAUGCUCUAAUUGGCAUUUCCAUUCUUUUUCUAGUUUAUCAUUUCUCGUCUCGUUUCUUUUGUCUGGUUCACCGAAUACCCAAUACACAAUAUGAAUACAUAUACACGCGGAUUGGUCGAGCGUUUUCCUUUUCUUGGUCUCUCCUCGAGGUAUCCUUAUUUUGUGUUAUUUUAAAAUGCCUUCCUCUCUUAUCGAGAUUUACGCAUCACACGUCCAAAAGGAGCACACAUGUCAUGGUUUAUCAAUGUAAUAUAUAGUAUGCGUUAUAGAUUCUUCAUUCGCGAACGAGGCCCACGAAGCCUCCGCGAGAUUCCUCUCUGUCUCGUCGAGCGUGCCAUUUUGCCAUCGAUCCCUCUCAUCAUUCUCAUCUCUCUGAAUAAAUACUGGAAAGAUGUAGAACUGUCCAAUGGAUAUCGUACGAGCGAAACGAUCGUCGUCCAUAACGAUAGUUGACGAUCGAUUAUGUAUUAUAGAAUCGGCGAACGAGAUUUUAAAAUACCACCCGGGUAGAUUGGUCGGGAUGUGAAGUUAAAACUCUUGGAAGAUGUUCAGUAAGUAAUUAUAGAUCGAGGUUAAAAUUCUUAGAUUCGAAUAUAAUAUAUAUGCGAAUUCUUUUAGGAUGAAAUUGAACGACUUGUUAGUUUAAAGAGAAUUCUCGAAUGUUUAGAACAUUGAUAGAGAUUCUCUCGGGAAAGGUAAGUUCAUUACGAAUUGAUGGGAGGUAAGAGGGAAGAUUGUUAGGCUGUAUUCCUUGGAAACCUUGGUCCAUGAUCGGCACCAGCUAAUUCUUAGUUGGAAUGAUGAUAUUUCAUUACAUCUUAUUUCUUACUCAUGACUAUAAUACAGGAUCAUCUGAUCCUGAUCUAAAAUAAUUCAAUUAUCUAAACUUAAUUAUUCUUCUUGACUAGGAUUAUUCUAUGAUGGCAUAUUCCCUCGAAAAUCAUUUGAAAUUUCACCAAUGGAAUCAGCUGGUCCAGGAUCAAAAGCUAUCGACAAUUUUUGCUGGAAUACAGGGACGAAUAUAGAACUAUUCGCAUCAUAAAAAAACGAUUUGGAUACGAUGGAUCUCCGAUAAACUCGUUUAAAUUCAUUCCAAAA
This is an RNA transcript of Apis dorsata (giant honeybee), 3342 nucleotides long. RefSeq lists it as uncharacterized. The transcript has 9 exons. Lineage: Eukaryota; Metazoa; Arthropoda; Insecta; Hymenoptera; Apidae. The record is from RefSeq and is a predicted model, not a curated record.